ACGCUCGACACCUACGGAGGCAGCAGUCGGGAAUAUUGCGCAAUGGAGGAAACUCUGACGCAGUGACGCCGCGUGCAGGAAGAAGGUUUUCGGAUUGUAAACUGCUUUAGACAGGGAAGAAAAAGGACAGUACCUGUAGAAUAAGCUCCGGCUAACUACGUGCCGGCAGCCGCGGUAAUCUGAGCGGGCGUGGCGAAGGC
This 200-nucleotide ribosomal RNA is filed under the name uncultured bacterium. RNAcentral's name for it is "partial 16S ribosomal RNA". It matches the Rfam family "Bacterial small subunit ribosomal RNA", at positions 328 to 538 of the family's 1533-position model. The record is from RNAcentral.